GGGUUCAUGGUCAUGGACGCGGGCCCCCUAGCUAGCUGACCUGCCACACUACGCGUCAGCACAACGCCCCCCCGCCUGGAUGGUAGCGGAGAGGACACCAUCAUCCCUUAUUACAAGGCUCCGACCUGACAUUCUGUUCAUUCCAAAUCUCCCCGCCCACGAAACCCAUAGGGAAGGGUUCCGCCCGCCCCUGAACAAAGCACGGCUGCCCAUUUAUAUCCUUGAAAUUGGUUACAGCUCCGACGUCCGAAGCGGGAAGAAAAAUCUCAGCAACACCAAGAACUCAAGACUGUUGGAGGCAGCCGGAUGGACGGUCCACUACUCCCCCAAUGAAUGCCUUGCGCUCGGGGUGACUGGGGCCAUUCGUCCCUCGCAACCUCACAGAGCUGCUCACCUCGGCUCACCUCUCAACUUGGGGUGACCCAGCCACACAGCCGCACGAGUCUGCGGAGAGAAGCUCCGCACACACGCUGUGAGCAGCGCGGGCAGCAUUAUCAAAAUGCGCCGAGUAACCGAGCAGGAACUCAAACCGAGGGGUGGGUGAGCCACGGCUCCCCCACGCCUCCUCGGAGUGCGUGGUGAGGCGGCAGCGCGAGGAGGAUGGGCCGGGCCCGCCAGACCCCAUGGGUUGGCGUUGAUUAUUAUUAUUGUCCCUCCUAUAUCUUAAGAAGAAUAAUAUUAGAAACCGGACUUAGCCGCGCGGGCGAUUCCCGGGGCCGAGGGGGGGGGGCGUGAGGGACCCAGCUUUGUUGCGAGCUUUGUUGUGAGGAGCGUGCUCCCUCAACUGCUGCCUCUUUGCCCUUGAUUCUGAAAGCCAUAGUAUCGCCGCAGCGCAGCCCCUGGUUGCAGCAAUCCUCGCUGGCGCGGCUCCAAGACCUUUUCGCGCGCUUCUUGUGUCACCGCCGGCUACGCGGCUAGAAUAAGCAGAAUGGAGCAGCAUCAGCCGGAUCACCCAGUAGCCCAACGCACUUAUCAAAGCCGCGAGGAAGCCAG
This 993-nucleotide long non-coding RNA is filed under the name Chlamydomonas reinhardtii. RNAcentral's name for it is "long non-coding RNA (CREI_LNC000243)". The record is from RNAcentral. Lineage: Eukaryota; Viridiplantae; Chlorophyta; Chlorophyceae; Chlamydomonadales; Chlamydomonadaceae.